UGCUCAUAUGCCUGGCGGACUCCUCUGGA
RNAcentral lists this non-coding RNA (29 nucleotides) under Mus musculus (house mouse). The record is from RNAcentral. Lineage: Eukaryota; Metazoa; Chordata; Mammalia; Rodentia; Muridae.